Ceratotherium simum simum (southern white rhinoceros) is the source of this 654-nucleotide non-coding RNA. The record is from RefSeq and is a predicted model, not a curated record. NCBI's taxonomy places the organism in Eukaryota, Metazoa, Chordata, Mammalia, Perissodactyla, Rhinocerotidae.
CUUCCCCUACCCCCAGGGCGCUUGCUCCGAGCUCCAGGCUCCUGUUAAGUUGCACCGCCGUUGUCUCCCUCUGGCUGUCAGCGUGAUCAUCUACCGGGACCUCAUCAGCCAUGAUGAGAUGUUCUCCAACAUCUACAAGAUCCGGGAGAUUGCGGAAGGGCUGUGCCUGGAGGUGGAGGGGAAGAUGGUGAGUAGGAGAGAGGGUAACAUUGAUGACUCACUCAUUGGUGGAAAUGCCUCUGCUGAAGGCUCCGAGGGCGAAGGUCCCGAAGGCACGGUCAUCACUGGUGUUGAUAUUGUCAUGAACCAUCACUUGGCGGGAAACCAGCUUCACCAAAGAAGCCUGCAAGAUUACAUCAAAGAUUACAUGAAAUCCAUCAAAGGCAAACUUGAAGAACAGCGAUCAGAAAGAGUAAAACCUUUUAUGACAGGGGCUGCAGGACAAAUCAAGCACAUCCUUGCUCAUUUCAAAAACUACCAGUUCUUUAUGGGUGAAAACGUGAAUCCAGAUGGCAUGGUUGCUCUGCUGGACUGCUUGAGGAUGGUGUGACGCCAUAGAUGAUUUUCUUUAAAGAUGGUUUAGGAAUGGAAAAAUGUUAGCAAAUUUGGCUGUUACUUUGGAUCUACACCCGUCAUAACUGGCUGCGGCUUUUU